UUAUUGGAGAGUUUGAUCCUGGCUCAGGAUGAACGCUGGCGGCGUGCCUAAUACAUGCAAGUCGAGCGAAUGGAUUAAGAGCUUGCUCUUAUGAAGUUAGCGGCGGACGGGUGAGUAACACGUGGGUAACCUGCCCAUAAGACUGGGAUAACUCCGGGAAACCGGGGCUAAUACCGGAUAACAUUUUGAACUGCAUGGUUCGAAAUUGAAAGGCGGCUUCGGCUGUCACUUAUGGAUGGACCCGCGUCGCAUUAGCUAGUUGGUGAGGUAACGGCUCACCAAGGCAACGAUGCGUAGCCGACCUGAGAGGGUGAUCGGCCACACUGGGACUGAGACACGGCCCAGACUCCUACGGGAGGCAGCAGUAGGGAAUCUUCCGCAAUGGACGAAAGUCUGACGGAGCAACGCCGCGUGAGUGAUGAAGGCUUUCGGGUCGUAAAACUCUGUUGUUAGGGAAGAACAAGUGCUAGUUGAAUAAGCUGGCACCUUGACGGUACCUAACCAGAAAGCCACGGCUAACUACGUGCCAGCAGCCGCGGUAAUACGUAGGUGGCAAGCGUUAUCCGGAAUUAUUGGGCGUAAAGCGCGCGCAGGUGGUUUCUUAAGUCUGAUGUGAAAGCCCACGGCUCAACCGUGGAGGGUCAUUGGAAACUGGGAGACUUGAGUGCAGAAGAGGAAAGUGGAAUUCCAUGUGUAGCGGUGAAAUGCGUAGAGAUAUGGAGGAACACCAGUGGCGAAGGCGACUUUCUGGUCUGUAACUGACACUGAGGCGCGAAAGCGUGGGGAGCAA
This 790-nucleotide ribosomal RNA is filed under the name Bacillus cereus. RNAcentral describes it as "bacterial SSU rRNA". It matches the Rfam family "Bacterial small subunit ribosomal RNA", at positions 1 to 771 of the family's 1533-position model. The record is from RNAcentral. Lineage: Bacteria; Bacillati; Bacillota; Bacilli; Caryophanales; Bacillaceae.